Molecule: long non-coding RNA, 2243 nt
Organism: Pan troglodytes (chimpanzee)
Lineage: Eukaryota; Metazoa; Chordata; Mammalia; Primates; Hominidae
Exons: 9
Source: RefSeq, a predicted model, not a curated record
AGGCUCACUUGUGCCUUUGCUCACUCGGAUGCCUCCCUAGAUCACAUUUUCACCUCCCUUGUUCAUCUGGCUCUCCCCACCCUCCUACUUUCAGUCUUAUCCUUCUAGGUCAGCAAAUCUGGAGAGCUUCUCCUCUUGCUCUAGGGUCAUUAUUACAAUGAAGGGAAGAAAGGAAGACAUGAAGGGGAAAUGGGACUAUUUACCAAGUGUAUCUGCAUAGACUAAAGGAGACAAGAGGAAGUACUGAGCACCUUGAUUCCUGCAGAUAAUUAAUUAUUUAAGAACCAUAAGAAUUCUUUCCUAGCUUCUCAUAAGCCUGCUCAUUCAAAGGAUUCAACCAUUUUAAUCACAAAGAACAAAACAACCUCAACUGAGAGCAGGCUUGAUUUAGGUUAACUGCAGUGAAUCAAACUAUUGGAUUAUAAUUCCAUGAAGUAAGUUUAUUGAAGACAAACAGGCCUUGGGCCGCUGCCUCUGUCUCUCCUGCCUUCCCCACUGAAACUCCAGUCCACAUUCACAAACAAAGACAAACCUGUGUGAACUGAAGCACCACAAAACUACUUUUAUGAAAGCAGAAUGGAAGAUUUCACCUGCAUUUCCUACAUUCAGGUGAAUCCUUUAAAUUGACUGAGGCACAUCCUGUACCAAGAAGAGACCUUUGUUACUGCCUUUGAUCCUGAGACCUUCUGAGCCAGGUCAGACCUUCAGAAUGAUGAAGAAACUCAUUUGAGGACAAGUACCAAUUCAGCGCUGAUGUAAAGUAGGCAUUUUCAAGAAGAAGAAAUUCUUCUCAUGUUUGAACUGUCCUCCUUGGUAUAACCAGGCAUUUACGGAAGAUGACGUUACCAGCAGCCCUGGGGCACAGUCAACAGCAGUGGAAGAGAUGGCUCAUGUGUGGCUCAGGCUGACUCCACAAUCAGAGUGAUUAUGUGGAAAUCAAUCAGAAUUUUCUUCUUAGAAGAUGUUUGUUCUGACAUAAUGACUGACAUUCCAGCUAAUUUUUAUUCAUAGGCUUCUCCUUGCACAAUGAUCUCUAUUUCUCUCAAUGUUAUUCUGUGUCUUUCUUGCUUGCCUGCACAUUCUGAAAAAAAAAGGAAAGCAAUUCCUUACAUUUUAUUUUGAUACUUAAUGUUGUUUGCUAACAUAUUCAGAACACAAUGCAACUUUAUAUAUUAGAGCACUUUUAAUAUAUAUUAGGAAAACAUCAAUUAGGUACCACCAGUUAUUUUAGACAGGUAUCUCUUAGGUAAAAUGUGGUGAAAAUAGAGGGGCAAUGAUAGAAUUCAUAUGUGAAAGAGUCAAUUGGCCAUCAUUAUGCCAAAAUUAUUUUGUGGUUCAGGGGACAUUUUAAACUUUAAUUUUUAAGAAUUAAACUUUAAUUAAAUUUAUUGUAGUUUAAAUGCAAUCACAAGGAAAGACUCUGAACUGGAAACACCAAGCCAAGCUCUUUCCUAGUUCUGGUCCCCUAUAAACCCUGAAAGUUAAUGCAAUUAUUGUAAUUUUUAAACCACCGAGUUCUCAGGGUGAUUAGUUAUGCAGCAAUAGAUAGCCUGAAAAGGACCAUUCUUUCUGGCACUGAAAAUUAAGAAGAGUGAUUAACAACAUAAGAAUGUGGUUUGUGCUGUCUGCCACAGAUUUAUGUUGUAGCUUCAGUGAUUGCUUCAAAGCACCCUUACUAAUUGCCAGUCUAUUGCUGAUACCUAGCUAAAUUAGCAUGUGUUAGUUUUGAUACCACUAUAGGCAUUUAGAGGAUAGCUGAUACAUUUUAUAUAAAAUAUAAUUAUUUUCCUAUCUUUAGUUUAUCCUAAAGUAGCAGCUAUUAUAUUCGCUUCUUGAUUAGCUUUAUACAUAACCAGAGAAAGUAAAAUAUCACAGAGUAUAUUUGAAGACAUAAAAGUCUUUGGACAAAGCUCAAGUAAUGAAUCAGGAUGCUAUUACAUCCUCCACAUGACAGUAAAUAUAUUUUAUAUUCCUAAAUUUUAAGCUUUUAACAAAAGUAAACUUUAUACUGGACUAUUUCAAUUUCUAGGGAAAGGAAAUUAUCAUUUACCGUCUUUGAGGCUAUAAUCUAUUUAGCCAUUAUUUUUAUAUUGAUCGAUUUAUAAUACAGGUAAGAGAAAAUACUACCACAUAUACGUUGUUUAUAUAAUUUUAACUUUCAUAAUUAAAAUACUGGGUAUACUGCAAGAUGUCAAUAUUUAUAAAACCUUAUAUUUGGAAACAAUUAUAUUUUAUAUACUCCU